RNAcentral lists this ribosomal RNA (476 nucleotides) under uncultured bacterium. Its description in RNAcentral is "bacterial SSU rRNA". It matches the Rfam family "Bacterial small subunit ribosomal RNA", at positions 15 to 538 of the family's 1533-position model. The record is from RNAcentral.
GAUCAUGGCUCAGAACGAACGCUGGCGGCAGGCCUAACACAUGCAAGUCGAGCGAGACCUUCGGGUCUAGCGGCGGACGGGUUAGUAACGCGUGGGAACGUGCCCUUCACUACGGAAUAGUCCUGGGAAACUGGGUUUAAUACCGUAUACGCCCUUCGGGGGAAAGAAUUUCGGUGAAGGAUCGGCCCGCGUUGGAUUAGGUAGUUGGUGCGGUAACGGCGCACCAAGCCGACGAUCCAUAGCUGGUUUGAGAGGAUGAUCAGCAACACUGGGACUGAGACACGGCCCAGACUCCUACGGGAGGCAGCAGUGGGGAAUCUUAGACAAUGGGGGCAACCCUGAUCUAGCCAUGCCGCGUGAGUGACGAAGGCCCUAGGGUCGUAAAGCUCUUUCACCAGGGAAGAUAAUGACGGUACCUGGAGAAGAAACCCCGGCUAACUCCGUGCCAGCAGCCGCGGUAAUACGGAGGGGGUUAG